Molecule: ribosomal RNA, 167 nt
Filed under: uncultured bacterium
Lineage: Bacteria
Description: partial 16S rRNA
Rfam family: Bacterial small subunit ribosomal RNA
Source: RNAcentral
UAGGGAAGUCUUCCACAAUGGGCGGCAAGCCUGAUGGAGCAACACCGCGUGAGUGAAGAAGGGUUUCGGGCUCGUAAAGCUCUGUUGUUAAAGAAGAACACGUAUGAGAGUAACUGUUCAUACGUUGACGGUAUUUAACCAGAAAGUCACGGCUAACUACGUGCCGG